RNAcentral lists this ribosomal RNA (515 nucleotides) under uncultured bacterium. RNAcentral's name for it is "partial 16S ribosomal RNA". It matches the Rfam family "Bacterial small subunit ribosomal RNA", at positions 30 to 523 of the family's 1533-position model. The record is from RNAcentral.
AUUGAACGCUGGCGGCGUGCCUAAUACAUGCAAGUCGAGCGAAUGGAUUAAGAGCUUGCUCUUAUGAAGUUAGCGGCGGACGGGUGAGUAACACGUGGGUAACCUGCCCAUAAGACUGGGAUAACUCCGGGAAACCGGGGCUAAUACCGGAUAACAUUUUGAACCGCAUGGUUCGAAAUUGAAAGGCGGCUUCGGCUGUCACUUAUGGAUGGACCCGCGUCGCAUUAGCUAGUUGGUGAGGUAACGGCUCACCAAGGCAACGAUGCGUAGCCGAGCUGAGAGGGUGAUCGGCCACACUGGGACUGAGACACAGCCCAGACUCCUACGGGAGGCAGCAGUAGGGAAUCUUCCGCAAUGGACGAAAGUCUGACGGAGCAACGCCGCGUGAGUGAUGAAGGCUUUCGGGUCGUAAAACUCUGUUGUUAGGGAAGAACAAGUGCUAGUUGAAUAAGCUGGCACCUUGACGGUACCUAACCAGAAAGCCACGGCUAACUACGUGCCAGCCGCCGCGGUAA